Molecule: ribosomal RNA, 497 nt
Filed under: uncultured bacterium
Lineage: Bacteria
Description: partial 16S ribosomal RNA
Rfam family: Bacterial small subunit ribosomal RNA
Source: RNAcentral
GAGGAAAGAGGGAGGCGUGCCUAAUACAUGCAAGUCGAGCGAACAGACGAGGAGCUUGCUCCUCUGACGUUAGCGGCGGACGGGUGAGUAACACGUGGAUAACCUACCUAUAAGACUGGGAUAACUUCGGGAAACCGGAUCCAAUAUCGGAUAAUAUAGUGAACCGCAUGGUUCAAUAGUGAAAGCCGGUUUUGCUGUCACUUAUAGAUGGAUCCGCGCCGCAUUAGCUAGUUGGUAAGGUAACGGCUUACCAAGGCAACGAUGCGUAGCCGACCUGAGAGGGUGAUCAGCCACACUGGAACUGAGACACGGUCCAGACUCCUACGGGAGGCAGCAGUAGGGAAUCUUCCGCAAUGGGCGAAAGCCUGACGGAGCAACGCCGCGUGAGUGAUGAAGGUCUUCGGAUCGUAAAACUCUGUUAUUAGGGAAGAACAAAUGUGUAAGUAACUAUGCACGUCUUGACGGUACCUACUCAGAAAGCCACGGCUAACUACGUG